Molecule: ribosomal RNA, 420 nt
Filed under: uncultured bacterium
Lineage: Bacteria
Description: bacterial SSU rRNA
Rfam family: Bacterial small subunit ribosomal RNA
Source: RNAcentral
UAAGGAAUAUUGCUCAAUGGGAGAAAUCCUGAAGCAGCAACGCCGCGUGGAGGAUGAAGGGUCUAUGACUUGUAAACUCCUGUAAAGAAGGAAAAAAUUCCCAUUUGAUGGGAGAUGAUGGUACUUCUGGAGUAAGCCCCGGCUAACUACGUGCCAGCAGCCGCGGUAAUACGUAGGGGGCAAGCGUUGUCCGGAUUUACUGGGUGUAAAGGGUGCUCAGGCGGAUUUGUAAGUCAGAAGUGAAAUCUUACAGCUUAACUGUGAAACUGCCUUUGAUACUGCAAGCCUAGAGUAUGGAAGAGAGUGAUGGAAUAUCUGGUGUAGCAGUGAAAUGCGUAGAUAUCAGAUAGAACACCAAUGGCGAAGGCAGUCACUUGGUCCAUUACUGACGCUAAAGCACGAAAGCGUGGGUAGCAAACA